Molecule: ribosomal RNA, 253 nt
Filed under: uncultured bacterium
Lineage: Bacteria
Description: partial 16S ribosomal RNA
Rfam family: Bacterial small subunit ribosomal RNA
Source: RNAcentral
UACGUAGGUGGCAAGCGUUAUCCGGAUUUAUUGGGCGUAAAGGGAACGCAGGCGGUCUUUUAAGUCUGAUGUGAAAGCCUUCGGCUUAACCGGAGUAGUGCAUUGGAAACUGGGAGACUUGAGUGCAGAAGAGGAGAGUGGAACUUCAUGUGUAGCGGUGAAAUGCAUAGAUAUCACGCAGAACUCCGAUUGCGAAGGCAGCAUACCGGCGCCCUACUGACGCUGAGGCACGAAAGCGUGGGUAUCGAACAGG